AUUGAACGCUGGCGGAAUGCUUUACACAUGCAAGUCGAGCGGCAGCGCGGGGGCAACCCUGGCGGCGAGCGGGCGAACGGGUGAGUAAUACAUCGGAACGUGUCCUUGAGUGGGGGAUAGCUCGGCGAAAGCCGGAUUAAUACCGCAUAAGCUCUGCGGAGGAAAGCGGGGGACUGGUAACGGCCUCGCGCUGUUGGAGCGGCCGAUGUCGGAUUAGCUAGUUGGUGGGGUAAAGCCCACCAAGGCGACGAUCCGUAGCUGGUCUGAGAGGAUGAUCAGCCACACUGGAACUGAGACACGGUCCAGACUCCUACGGGAGGCAGCAGU
This 327-nucleotide ribosomal RNA is filed under the name uncultured bacterium. RNAcentral's name for it is "bacterial SSU rRNA". It matches the Rfam family "Bacterial small subunit ribosomal RNA", at positions 29 to 355 of the family's 1533-position model. The record is from RNAcentral.